Homo sapiens (human) is the source of this 1570-nucleotide long non-coding RNA. The record is from Ensembl. NCBI's taxonomy places the organism in Eukaryota, Metazoa, Chordata, Mammalia, Primates, Hominidae.
CGCGCGGCAGCAGGGUUGGGCUCUCGCCGUGAGUCGACGAAGGGAGCGCGGGCGCGCGCCCGCGUCCGCGCACUGAGAGUCGCCUCGGCCGCUCGCUUUCUCGACUCCCGCCUCGCGCCUCGAUCCUGUUCCGCCUCCCUCGGCCCUCCUGCCCGCCCCCACUCGUCGGCCCUCAGGUUCCUGGAAAGUGAAAAUUUCAUUUCUUUGUGGACAGGUACCUAAAAUGUCUCAUUAUUCAUCAAUUAAUGAAAAACAAAUGAAAAUUUGAGAGAGAUAUUCUGAAGAAUAAAAGGAUCAAGUUGGGUCAUUUCUAAAAUCUCAGAGACCUAAUAGGAUGGGGUCUUAGAGAAACAUCUUUUGAGCCACAGACUUCUUUGUUACCAGAAGGAAAAUGAAAGAAGAAAUUUAAAUACCACUUGAAGAGAGGUGCUGCCCAGUUCAUGAGUGCUGCUGCUGUCCUGCCCAAGUACCCAGCUUGCAGAGUGCCAGAGUUAGAGUCCCAGGGGUGUUCUCCACAGCUGCAUGCUUGAUCCAGGCCUAUCAGCAUUGUCUUUGAAUAUUAGCAAAUAAUGGAACAUGGGCCAAGGGUGAACCAUGACGAAUUUGUGUUCCAGCAGCCCUGCUUCUUUAGAAUUGACAGUCUGGCUUCGUGGUUAAUUCACAGCAUCUGAGGAAUACAUCCAAAGAGGGUGAUACUGUGGCAUGAUGGUACCAGGAUUCCAAGUUCAUUCCAGAGAAGAUGGCAAGAUGCAGAGAGGAGGAGUCACGCCUGAAGCCACACAGCUGACAUCAGAGCCAAAGCAUGAGCCUCAGUCUCUCUGACCCAGAGCUACCACCCUUGCUGCCUUGGGAAGAAGGAAGCCCCCUCCUAUUCUAUCCUUGAGCUGCCUUGGCAAGGAGGGGCCCCUUGCUGCCGCCAUCCUCACAGGACACCAUCCACAUGAGGGGAUGAUCAUUGGGUAGAGACUAGAAAUGUACCGAGCAGUGCGCAAAGAAGAUGAGGAGGGUUCUACAGUUUCUCCAGAUACAUACCAUGACAAUUUGUUUUUUUAAAAAAGAAGAAAGCCUGCAGGAAAAAAUCUACAACUUUCAUCAAAUUACUCAGGGAGACUUUAUUCUAAAGAGACUGAAAACGACCAACAUCAAUUUUGACUCCUAUGGGCAUCUGUAAAUAGCUUCAAGGUUUUAAGGUGAAAUGUCAUGUACCAAAAUACACAUUCUGGAGAAGCAGGAAGCUACAGACCAACUUGAGAUGAAAGUCUCAUAUCAAUGUUUUCCCAAGUGUGCUCCUUGGAAUACAGGUUGACAUGAUAUGAUGCCCAGCAAGGGAAACAAAACAUAUUCAUGUUCAAAUUAGUUGGGGAAAUGCUGGACUAAAUAAGGUUUGAUGGGAUUCUUUUUUCUGCAGGACUUCUCAGAAGGGGCUAGAGUAGGCAAAGUUUCCCAGAUUUACCUAAUAAAAGCAUUGUUUCUGUGGGAGUUUCAUUUGUUAUUACAUGUUUCCUGAAUGCAGAUUCAUAGACUAUCCUUUGGGGAACCCUCGUCCUCACGGGAUGUAUGUUCAUGGUGG